This 207-nucleotide long non-coding RNA is filed under the name Vigna radiata. RNAcentral's name for it is "long non-coding RNA (VRAD_LNC001785)". Lineage: Eukaryota; Viridiplantae; Streptophyta; Magnoliopsida; Fabales; Fabaceae. The record is from RNAcentral.
CGCCUCCAAGGAGAGAAAAGUGCUUUUGCGUCCUUUCUGGCAAAAGAUAGACCAUCUGGUUUGUGCAGAACUAUUUAUAAUACAGAAAAAUUACAGAAUUCUAGCCCAAGUCCAAUAGUCCACUAUCCAACGGUAUGUUCGACACUUAAUAUCACCCCUCAGCGUUGCCGCUUGAGUGCUGGCCAGAGAAUAUCCUGAAGAGUCCAC